Small nucleolar RNA from Acomys russatus (golden spiny mouse), 144 nucleotides. RefSeq annotates it as small nucleolar RNA SNORA48. The record is from RefSeq and is a predicted model, not a curated record. NCBI's taxonomy places the organism in Eukaryota, Metazoa, Chordata, Mammalia, Rodentia, Muridae. The transcript has a single exon.
UCCCCCACAACUAUGAACAAAGAGACACCUUGUCAUUGGUGGUGUUCUUAUAUCAUUCAGGGGAAAAGCAGAUAUUCUGAUUUGUUUAUCCUAGCUUGAUGCCUGUGUUUGUGUCCAAAGCUGUUUUCUGCUUAGGACACAUAA